Rhinichthys klamathensis goyatoka is the source of this 826-nucleotide long non-coding RNA. RefSeq lists it as uncharacterized. The record is from RefSeq and is a predicted model, not a curated record. The transcript is spliced from 3 exons. Lineage: Eukaryota; Metazoa; Chordata; Actinopteri; Cypriniformes; Leuciscidae.
ACACGCUUAUUUAAAAAUUCUAUUUACAUCUGAAAGGAAAAUAUUGUAUAAGUAUUGCAGAUGAGCAGAUCACAACAUGAAUAAGACAUCUGAGCGAUGAAUGUGUGCUAUUGUGUAGGAUAAUUCACUGUUGUCAACACUGUUUACAUUAGACAAAUGUGCUGUAAAUAAGGUAAAUAAACAAAUCUAUAAAGUAACUAAAUAUGUUAUAUAUUUUAUUUGUCCCUUAUUACUGUUGAUAAAUUGAGGAACAUUUAAGUUGGAUAAAAAGUGAGUUAACACAUCAGCUACAACCUCAGCAUGUAAAUGUAGUGUUGAGCUCAUAAAUCACAGAGGUAAUGUGAAUCUUGUCAGGAUGUUACAGGGACAGAAGAACACGCGUGUGUUUAUCCAGUGGAGAGAGGCUUGUGAUGCUGAAUGCUGUCAUCAAAGGCUUUGAAGCUUUUGUGGUGGAGCAGGACCUGCAAGGAAAGAUGAUGGCAGCAUUUGUUGGGAAAAAAAGGUUUUAGGGAUUUUACUCAAAUAUAAAAGGAUCUGAAGUCUGCAGACUGGUGUGAGCACUGAGGAUGAAGAGCACAGAGCUGAAUCCUGGAAGUGGUGCCAUGGAUGAGUCCUUCCAUCUCUCCAUCUGCCCUUAUUGCCUCAGAUUGUGAAGCGCAGCGCAACGCAGCAACAAGCUCUGGCACGAAGGCACGGUCACCUCUGGUGAAUUCAUCAGAAUAAAGCCGCAGAAUGGGAACCGCUGUGUUGAGAUGGCAGUAGGAUUUGGGGUUCAGCGCCUGUAAAUACAUGCUUGUAGUUUGAAUAAAGCUUUGUUCCAUGUGUU